Long non-coding RNA from Polypterus senegalus (gray bichir), 395 nucleotides. RefSeq lists it as uncharacterized. The record is from RefSeq and is a predicted model, not a curated record. The transcript has 4 exons. Lineage: Eukaryota; Metazoa; Chordata; Cladistia; Polypteriformes; Polypteridae.
CACUGAUAGUAAACUUUGGAUCACAGGAUUUUUUACGUAGCUCCUUUAUUCAGGAAAAGAAUUCUUAAAGGGCUGUUCACGCUUGAAAUAUCCCAUUUAUUUUUGUAGGCACGAAAUAGCAAUAUAAUGCCUGUGGUGGUCAGUAUAUGGUAUUUUGUCAUGAUUUUCAUUCCAAUAUUCCAGGGCUCCUAGUACCGUUCACUUGAAUCUUCAAUCCUGUUUUAACUUCUGCUGCCCAUGACAAAGCAUCACUCAGUUCACACUGUGUUUCUCUGGGCAUAAGCUGAUGUCAAAAUGUCGCACUGACUUAGAAAACACUUCUGAAAACAGUCGAGCCUGAUAGUAACAACUCCUAACAGUUACUUAUUUAUGGAAAAAGAUGAUCCGCUGUGGCA